CCAUGAUGUGCAUGAUGUGGAUGAUGAUGUGGACACCUGGCAUGUCAAACUUGCAAACAUUAAUUGCAGUUAGUGGGGAUCAACUUUAUAAGUUAUAUAGAUUGCCUAGUCCUUUUCAUCAGAUCGAUCUUUUGCUUGCGUUAACUAGCGGAUGAAGCCCUUCGGAUACUAACGGCUCUCCCAAUGCAUAAUCUGUUAGCAGGUUAUCUUAGGUGGUGAUAAUUCAUAAGAGACAAACUUCAUAAUACAUUAUCUCUUAGUUGUUGUCUCUAAAGAAGGUUGUGUUGGUUAAUUUUGGAGGUAUGAUUGCAUUUGACUGAGGGAAUUAAUGCUUUUGUCUAUGUCUAAGUGCAAGAGCUCUAUCACAGUAAGCAAGAGAUAACCUCACUCUUUUUCUUUUUUCUUUUUCUUUUGCGGGUAACAUCACUCUUUUUCUUCAUUAAUUAGUACGCCAUAUGCCAUCAAAAUGCUUAAAAUUUUGUCUCAAGAUACCCCAACUGAGAGAGGCCUAAUUCAAUAGUAGUUGCUAGAUAAGCCAACUAGGGAAUUGAUUAUUUUCUUGUGAUAAGACCUAUUUAUGCCAGUGGAAUAAGAUGUCGGCUUGUUAAAACAUCACCAUUGGAAAUUACGGCUACAAACUAGCACACCCUAACUCUUGGUAUUUGAUUUGCUACAAUUUGAACACAGGAUCGGGUCUUGGCCUAUGAGUUAAAAUAGUAGUUGGGGAGUUGGAGCAGUAAAGCCAAUAAGUACUCGGACCUGAUUAAAUGCGCUCUGUCCCGUCUGUUAGAGUGUGUGGCUAGCUGUGGUUAGAAGCGUAACGAGGCUGUAACGCUAACGGUAUCUACGCUCAUCUUCUUGGCCGCAUAAUUACUGACACCGUUUAGCUGAUUGUGUUUCAAUUAAUUAGCUGAUUGUGUCUUCUAAUAAAGUAUUGAUUAGCAUUGUACUUGACAUCAUAUUAAAACAAAAAGCUCUCCAUGUGACAUAAAACUCUGCAUAGGACACCUCAAACCUUUUUCUUCUCUCUUGUUCUCUCUCUCAAUUUUUACGUGUGACAUAAAGCUCUGCACAUAUUUCUUCCCAUUUCUUUUCUACUGCCAAUGAAAAUUUAUUUACAGGAGAACUAAUGUACAUAUUUUUAUUUCUUUUCUUAUUUUAUUUUAUUUUUUGUUCAAAAUUUGAAAGUGCACAAAUGAUGUUACAUUGCUCGUUAUCGAUGUAGAUUAUGGUACCUCCUCAACUCAUAAUUGUACCUCAUGCACCAAGAAAAAAACAUUGGUACAUGAUGGUACUUAAAUCACAAUAUCCGCCAAAAUAAAACAAGUACCUCCUCAACUUAUAAUUGUACGUCAUGUAUCAGUAUCAGAAAAAAAAAUAUGCACAAACAUUCAUCAAAACUUAGUACCUCAUGAUGUACCAAUUCAUCAAAACUUAGUACCUCAUCUGUAAAUACUGUGUUCAUCAACUCAUAAUUGUACGUCAUGUAACAGGAGAAAAAUAUAAGCACAAACAUUCAUCUAAAUUUAGUACCUCGUCACGUACCUAUUCAUUAAAACAUAGUACCUCGUCUUACCUCGUCUGUAAAUAUUGUCUACAUCAAUUGUACGUCAUGUACUAGAAAAAAAAUCAAAAACACAGACAUUCAUCAAAACUUCGUACCUACCGAUGACACAUGAGGUACUCAAAAAACACGGCACACCGUUCAAGAAUACAUGUUACAAAUCAACUCAUCGGCACCUUCCACGAAUCCGAUUCACUAGAUGGUAUACAUCUUCGGUAAGGGAUCAGGUGGCAUGAAGCUCACCGUCGAUGGAUCUAUAUAAAAAAAGUACUUUCUGCACUCACCACCGACUUGCCGCCACAGGCUUUGGGACUGGAUCUUCCGGCGGGUCGGCAGGCAGGGACGGGUCCUG
This 1916-nucleotide long non-coding RNA is filed under the name Brachypodium distachyon (stiff brome). RNAcentral describes it as "long non-coding RNA (BDIS_LNC001736)". Lineage: Eukaryota; Viridiplantae; Streptophyta; Magnoliopsida; Poales; Poaceae. The record is from RNAcentral.